Brassica rapa (field mustard) is the source of this 2128-nucleotide long non-coding RNA. RefSeq lists it as uncharacterized. NCBI's taxonomy places the organism in Eukaryota, Viridiplantae, Streptophyta, Magnoliopsida, Brassicales, Brassicaceae. The record is from RefSeq and is a predicted model, not a curated record.
AGAAGACAUAAUCAAAAUUACAAAGAUGGAAUCUCAUGAAGCUUCAUUUACAGAACUUGGCUUACGAAAGAAGACGAGUUCGUGACCUUUCUUUUUGCAUUGGAAAGGUCCUUGGAAGUUGUUGGAACUCAAAUCAAAGGCUGCUAAAUUUUGGGAACAUAGGUUUUGAGGUAAUGUAUCUUUGAUUCUGUUCUUUUCUAGACAAUGUUGAUUCCAUUGAUUAUGUGUGGUAUUUUAUCCGUAAUCCCAGUGUUCAUGAGUGUGACUGAGAUGAGUUUGUUUGUGAAAAUUUGUGGGGUUUUUUUUUUAGUUUCAGGAAGGUGUUUCAAACUUUCAGGAUAGCUUUUCAGAAAAUCGGAUACUAGAAAAUUUGAAAAAAAUUUUGGCUUGGUUACGCCGUACAGAAACGCGAUGGGAGAUUCAAUACCUGUCAUGCUAAGACUAUGCUUUUGAAUAUUGAUGUUGACUUGGACAAGUAAGAAGUUGUAUUGAAUGAUGACGACAUUUGUUUCAUUUAGGUUGUUAUUAAAGAAAUUUUAGGAUGUCUUGAAGCAUUGUCAGUAAUUCUAUCAAGAAAGUGUUAAAAUUUGUUAUCAUUGUAAAACACAUAUCCUAUCUAGGAUAUCUUAUGGUACUUUUUGGAUGGGUUUCCAGGAAAUAAAUGAGUAAGCAUAAGCCUUUACUUCAAAAAUGAAUUAAUUGUGAAUGUACCAGGAUUGAACUCCAAAACUCUCGUAAAUGGAAUUCAAUCCUAGUGUGCAGCCGCUACGCCAAGAGUGUUAUACUUGCCAAGUGUUAUAAUUAAAUCAAUAUAAACAACAUAUUUAUAUUUAAUUAAAACCAGAAAAAAAAAAUUUGUUUCCAAAAGAAAUCGAAUGCGUGUUUAAUGUGCAAUACGAGUUGUGUAAGAGUAGAGGGCUAGCUGCUAGGCUACGGUGUAUAUUUGUUUUGUAAAGAUAUGUGAACUUAUUUAUUCACAUAUAUUAUCUAAGAUACCAUUGGUGAUAUUCAGGAUGGGUUUCCAAAAAUCGAAUAUGAAAAUGAGAUUACCAAGAUACAAGACCACUAAGCCAAUGUAUGAUAUCUCAAAAUGAGUAAGCUUUUAAAAGCAAUAUAAGAAAUUCUCUUGCUGAUUGAUACACAAAUUAAAAAAAUGUUCAGAUUCCAUUAAGGAAAAAGUGACCAUAAAAUAUGAUGUGGGUUUCCUAAUACAUAAAUAUUAGUCUUAAACAUAAGAGGGAAAUUGAUAACAUCAGAUUAAUCAUCCAUCCAACAUUUCAAGCUCUGGCCAGUCAAUUAAUUUAACCUUGACAUUAGCCAAGUUUCAUUCGGCUUCAAUGUGCUCUGCUGCUAGUUUUUCCAACUCAGUAACAAAGUCAAAGUUUUCAGCUUUGAUAAUGACAUCAAGCAAAUCAAUUCGCGAAGAAAUAUAUUUUACUUUGCUCGAAGCGUCAUUCCAUUCAGAUUCAGAUUGCGUUUGUUCCUUGACCAAGCGGAGAAUCGACCUAUAAUGCUCCUCGGUUUCCUUUUUCUCUUUGUUAACCAUAACUUUUAUAUUAUAAACGUUGGAAAGAACUUUUGGAAUUUUUGGAUGGGUUUCCAGAAUAGUAGAAUACAAGUAUGUUUCUUUCUAGCAAAGAAGUUUAACUUAAAAAAAUGAAAUGAGAUCAACAACUAAGGAUUGAUAUCUUCAUAUUUGGGAAAUUUCAAAUUGUGAUUUGGAAUUUUGGAGAAAAAAAAAAGAACAAAAUAUACAUCUACCAGGAUUCGAACACGAGAUCUCUGGGAAAAGGGGGGGGGGAAUAAAGUGUUGCCACUAGGCCAAGUGUGUUUCAAUUGUUUGUUGAUGUAAGCAAAUGAAUAUAAUCCAUUGAUUUUUAUUCAAUUAUAAAAAUAAAAGCGAUCCGAUACCGAAGGGAAUCGAACGCGGGAUGAGGCAAGUGUUUCAGUUUCGUAAGAGAGAUGGUUUAGCCGCUAGGCUGAGGAGAAUCAUCUGGUAGAAGCUAAAAAUGUAUUUAACCGUAAAUUUUAUAUUAUAAACGUACGAAAGAACUUUGGAAUUUCUGGAUGGGUUUCGAGAAUAGUUGAAUAUUAGUGUGUUUUUUCUAACAAAGAAGUUUAAACUAAA